RNAcentral lists this ribosomal RNA (383 nucleotides) under uncultured eukaryote. RNAcentral's name for it is "partial 18S ribosomal RNA". It matches the Rfam family "Eukaryotic small subunit ribosomal RNA", at positions 592 to 976 of the family's 1831-position model. The record is from RNAcentral.
CAAUAGCGUAUAUUAAAGUUGUUGCAGUUAAAAAGCUCGUAGUUGGAUUUCUGGUAGGAGUGACCGUUCCGAACUUGAUUGUUCGUGUAUUGUGUUUUCUCCAGCCAUCCUUGUGGAGAACUUUUCUUGCAUUAAUUUGUAGGGAUUGGGACCCGCAUCGUUUACUGUGAAAAAAUUAGAGUGUUUAAAGCAGGCAAUCGCUUGAAUACAUUAGCAUGGAAUAAUAAGAUAGGACUUUGGUACUAUUUUGUUGGUUUGCAUACCAAAUUAAUGAUCAACAGGAAAAGUUUGAGGAUAUUCGUAUGAACAUGUCAGAGGUGAAAUUCUUGGAUUUUGAUCAGACGAACUACUGCGAAAGCAUUUAUCAAGGAUGUUUUCAUUAA